RNAcentral lists this ribosomal RNA (435 nucleotides) under uncultured bacterium. RNAcentral describes it as "partial 16S ribosomal RNA". It matches the Rfam family "Bacterial small subunit ribosomal RNA", at positions 29 to 507 of the family's 1533-position model. The record is from RNAcentral.
AGCGAACGCUGGCGGCAGGCUUAACACAUGCAAGUCGAACGGGCAUAGCAAUAUGUCAGUGGCAGACGGGUGAGUAACGCGUGGGAACGUACCUUUUGGUUCGGAACAACACAGGGAAACUUGUGCUAAUACCGGAUAAGCCCUUACGGGGAAAGAUUUAUCGCCGAAAGAUCGGCCCGCGUCUGAUUAGCUAGUUGGUAGGGUAAUGGCCUACCAAGGCGACGAUCAGUAGCUGGUCUGAGAGGAUGAUCAGCCACAUUGGGACUGAGACACGGCCCAAACCCCUACGGGAGGCAGCAGUGGGGAAUAUUGGACAAUGGGCGAAAGCCUGAUCCAGCCAUGCCGCGUGAGUGAUGAAGGCCCUAGGGUUGUAAAGCUCUUUUGUGCGGGAAGAUAAUGACGGUACCGCAAGAAUAAGCCCCGGCUAACUUCGUG